This is an RNA transcript of Sorghum bicolor (sorghum), 687 nucleotides long. It is a transcript of the gene named protein NUCLEAR FUSION DEFECTIVE 6, chloroplastic/mitochondrial, with no coding region annotated. The record is from RefSeq and is a predicted model, not a curated record. The transcript is spliced from 4 exons. Lineage: Eukaryota; Viridiplantae; Streptophyta; Magnoliopsida; Poales; Poaceae.
GCCCAGACCGACGACUCACUCCCCACUCCAGUCCCGAAGCUGACCGGAAAACCCCCAUCUUCUCCACCACGAUGGCCGCCGCCGCCGCCAGGUCUCUGCUCCGCUCGUCGGCCUCCCUUCUCCGGACCGCCCCCGCCACCGCGAGGUCCUCGGCUACGACGCGUCCGUCUCUUCGGCGCGCAUUGGCUGCUCCUCCUCGCCUCCUCAGGUCGCCCGUCGAGUCGAGCUUCUGCGUGGAGUCGCUUCUGCCUCUGCACACCGCCACCGCCGGUGCACGCAUGACGUCCAUGCUCGCCGCUCCUGGCCGAGGCCUCGGCUGGCUCACCCAAGGAUCUGAUGAAACUAGAUGAAGAGCAGACGGGGAAAGCUGAAACUGAUGGAGUAUGAUGCCCCAUGUCGGUCCUUUAGGAAUCAGGAGACCAGUUGUGCUUCGAGUUCUUCAAUGCUUGCAGGAAUCAAGAAGAGUUGAUGAAAGAAAAAAGAGAGAGAGAGAGAGAUUGCUUUUCUUUAUCUUUAUGUGAACUGUGAUGAUGACUUAAUAAACUAGACUAGAUCUUUGUAUGAUGCUCUGACCCUUUUUAUGUUUUUCAUUGACUAAAAUGAUUAUGUAAUGAUAACUACGGCAGGGGCUAAAUUGUUCGUAGAAGUAAGAUGUACACUUGAUUUAUCUGGUUUGAUUCUUCAUCA